This 496-nucleotide ribosomal RNA is filed under the name uncultured bacterium. RNAcentral describes it as "bacterial SSU rRNA". It matches the Rfam family "Bacterial small subunit ribosomal RNA", at positions 30 to 518 of the family's 1533-position model. The record is from RNAcentral.
UGAACGCUAGCGACAGGCCUAACACAUGCAAGUCGAGGGGCGAGCACAAGGAGCAAUCUGAGGUGGCGACCGGCGCACGGGUGAGUAACACGUAUGCAACCUGCCUGUAAGCGGGGAAUAACCCGUUGAAAGACGGACUAAUACCGCAUAAUACUAAAUUACUGCAUGGUAAUUUAUUUAAACAUUUAUGGCUUACAGAUGGGCAUGCGCAUGAUUAGCUAGUUGGAGAGGUAACGGCUCCCCAAGGCAACGAUCAUUAGGGGUUCUGAGAGGAAGGUCCCCCACACUGGUACUGAGACACGGACCAGACUCCUACGGGAGGCAGCAGUGAGGAAUAUUGGUCAAUGGACGAGAGUCUGAACCAGCCAAGUCGCGUGCAGGAAGAAUGUUCCCUAUGGAUUGUAAACUGCUUUUGCAGGGGAAUAAAGUGCAUCACGUGUGAUGUUUUGUAUGUACUCUGCGAAUAAGGAUCGGCUAACUCCGUGCCAGCCGCAGC